Long non-coding RNA from Nycticebus coucang (slow loris), 2040 nucleotides. RefSeq lists it as uncharacterized. The record is from RefSeq and is a predicted model, not a curated record. The transcript is spliced from 6 exons. Lineage: Eukaryota; Metazoa; Chordata; Mammalia; Primates; Lorisidae.
CCGCACUGGGACUGGGCAGUGAGUUUGGGACUGUGUGAAGAGAAAGGAAACUUCGGCCACUUGGGGCCAGAUGACUUCACCAGAGUGGAAAGUGGCAGGCCAGGCAGCCGGGGGAGGGAACACUUCCUGGAGAUGGGGCUCUGGAAGACCUUGGCUCCUUCAUUAAACUAAAAUAGGACUUGAGAUUGCUGCAGCACACAUUCCUGAACAUACGUCACUGUGUGUGUGAGAAAGAGAUACAGAAAGAGACAGAAUGAAAGAGUGUGGAGCUGCAGAGAGCAUGUUAGGAUAUUGGAAUGUCUACUUCCCUUCUUCACAUUCGUGCAUCUGUUCACUUGCUAAUAGGUAUAACUGGUUUUGUCAACUCUCUGACUGAUGGAAGAAAUGGACCAGUGACACCAUUGUAUAUGCUAUUUGCCUCAGUUCCUCUGACAACAUGAGUAAUCAGGGUGCUGUCAGGAGCAGAAAACACACCAGUUAUUCAAAUAAGAGGAUUUAAUACAGAGAAUUGUUGACUGGUAUAAAGUUUUCCACUAGAAAAGAGUCAAAGAGAGGACCCUAAGAUAACACGGAGGUUACAACGUCAGGAGGCAGCUACCCACUUCGGGGCUGGUGCAACAAAGUGAUCUAUUAAAGCUCAGAAACUUGGAGGAGGGGCCCAGAAAACUGGAGAGGGGACUUAGCUCAGCUAAUGCUGAUGUGUCUGAGCUCAGAGAAGGGGACUCAGACCUCUGCAAAGGGGGCACAACCUGCUGGCGCUGGUGUCUCUAAGAGAGGAGGGGAGUUGCAACAAGGCUGCUUCUGUAUUGAAGAAACUUCAGGCUGGCUUCAGUUGCUGCAAUUCCAGAGUGAAGAGGGAGGUUGAUGUGAUUCUGGAAGGAACCAAAGACCCCGACAAGCAGGCAGGAAGGAAUCUCUCCCUCCAGGCCUGCAGCCUCCGUCCUAUGGGCAGAGCCAGGUGGGUAAAAGACAUGGGACUGGCAGCCUCCCAGUACCAGAGCAGAGGAGGAGUUAAUAACCAGCCCUGCUGGUGAGAAGAGAACCCAGGACUGGCUUCCCUGAGAGUUCUAGCCCAGGGCUGUCUCUGGUGCAUUUCAGCUCACAAGGACUGAAUACUUUCUCUUACCUGGAGAAGCAGAGACCACGCUCUUGCAGCCUGGUCGGGGAGCUUACGUGAUGCCAGCAGUGAAUGUGAAAUGUUCCCUCUGCAGCUCACACAGCCCCGCCCUGUUAAUUUCUUCCCAUGUUUUAGAAGAAACAAUCAGGAAAGCCCCUCCGAGGAGGUGGCCUUUGAGAAGUCAGGGGAAGAGAGUUCUAGGCCGUACAUGUUCGUACCCUGAAGUUGGAACCUGCCUGCCCUUUGCGGGGAAGAUCGUCCCUGUCUGGGGCAGUGACCAAGAGAGGAAUGAUGGAAGUUAGAGAUGUUGGCAGGACUCAACACUGGCAGAGCCAGAUGGGACUAGUGAAAGAGUUUGGAUUUUAUUCCAGGAGUGAUAAGAAACCCAUGGAAGAGUUUUAGGCACAGAAUAUAGGAGAUCUGAUUUGUGCUAAAAAACAAAUCGAAAACAAACAAAAAACUUUGGUUGUUCCAUGGAGAGCAGCAAGAAUGGAAACAGAAAGACCAGAGUGUGCCCGGAGGUGUGUGGACGUCACAUAAAUUCUUUCACUCAAUUCUCUCAACAACCCCAUGAGAGCUGUUAUUGCCCUUGCUUUACAGAUGAGGAAAGUGGGACUCAGAAAGUCAUCCAGCUUGUCAGAGAAAGUGGGUUACAGUGACAGCCAACCUCUCAACAUCAUGAAGGUGGUUGACUUCAUAAAUGGUGCUGUGUACUUUCUCCUGCACCAUCACAGGAGGCAGAUAAUGUCUGGUUCAGGCAAAUACCUAGGAGUGGAACUGCUGAGUCAUAUAGUAGAUGGAUAUUCACCUUUACGAGAAGCCAGUUUUCCAAAGAGGCUCUACCACUUUGCAUGCCUACUGAGAAAAUCCUCCCUAACAUUUGACAUUUUAAGUCUUUUAAUCUAAUGAAUAAAAUGUGGUGU